Non-coding RNA from Vicugna pacos (alpaca), 1968 nucleotides. The record is from RefSeq and is a predicted model, not a curated record. Lineage: Eukaryota; Metazoa; Chordata; Mammalia; Artiodactyla; Camelidae.
AGCGCCACGUCGGAGGCGGGGGUGACAUCAGCCCGCGACGUCCGGCGCCGUCCUUCCGGGGUCAGCGGCGGAGGCGGGGCGGAGGCGGGCUGGGGACUGGCUGAGGCUCCGGUGGGUAGGUGGGCUCAGCCCGAGGGGACUACGGGUCGGCGUUGGGCUCAGCGGGCUCGAACAAAGGCCUCUCGGGCAGAGACGCGGCGCGGCGCCUCCUGCGGGUAGCUGGGCGGCCGGCCGCGGCUUCCCGGCCCGCCAGUGCCCUCCCCGCGCGGUCCCCGUCGGCUUCUCCUCGGAUCCCCGCGGCCAGCGCCGCGGUGCGGGGCCCGGCGCAGCGGCACCUGCUGCUGGGGGACCCCGCGGCCCGCCCGGGUGCUCGUGAUGGGGCUGAUCUUCGCCAAACUGUGGAGCCUCUUCUGUAACCAAGGGCAACAAAGUGUCCAGCUAAAAACCAUCACUUUCCUGGGCUCAUUAGAAGAAGACACGUGACGCAGUUCUGAGAUGUGAGUGGCAGUCUGCUGGGGGCAUCAAGGAGGGCUUCCCACCUGGGACACAUGUGGCCCUGGGUGAGGUAAAGAGCAGAACAAGAGCCUCGGCUCAAGUUGAAGCAGGAAGACAGAAGAAGGGGAGCCUGGGCCCGAGACAUAUCAUCCAAGAGUUCUGAUUGCCCAUUCUUGGCGUGUUGGUGGAAUGAAACCAAGAACCCCCAUCUGUGAAAUCCAUUUUUCAAGUUCUUUGUUGAUUUGCACCAAAUGCAGACACUGGUACCCCUAGAGACAACAAUGAGAUGGCUUGUCAUCUUUUUCUGUCUCUUGAAGCGACCUUUUCAGACAGGGAAAAAGCUCAUGGAAAUGGAAAGCUAGAAUUAGGAGGCCCGGUGACCAUUUAAUUUCCCAGUCACUCCCUGAGUCACUCUGGGUGAAUCACUGUGUAAACAGGUGUGUGAGUCAUCUGUAUCUGCAUAACCCAUUAACACAAGUCAGGCUGUAGACAAGACACGUUUAUUCUCCCACAGUUUCUGUGGGUCAGGAGUCCAAGCAUGGCUCACAUGGGCUUCUGCUCCAGGGUCUCAUCAGGUUACCAUCCAGGUGUCAUCCAGCGCAGGGGUUUCUUUUGAUGACUGGGCGGCAGAAGGGCCCCCUUUUAAGUUCAUGAGGUCCUUGGCAUCUAAUAAAUUCAAAUCCCACAGGGUGACAGGGUAGCAUCCCAUAUUUGACUGAUCAGAAGCGAAUCACAGGUCCUACCCACACUCAAAGGGAGGGGAUAUCAUAAGGGUAUGUGGAUGAUUGGGGACCAUAAGGUACAAGAGUGAGAAAUGAUGUGGGUAAAUAUGACAGUUAACAUUCCAAAGGCUGUGGUUUUCAUCCACAUUCUUUUCAGAGGCAGUAGAGAAGAUGGAGCUUCUUACAGCAUUUUUCUUCAUCUCCUAGUAACUCUCUCUGGUUUUAAAGUCCUCCUGGAGUUAGCUACAGAUAUUACCCAUCAAAGGAUAUAUUUAACAUUUAAUAUUUAUUCAGAAUCUUGCAUAUCAGUCUACACUAUUGGGAAUUUUUGAAAAAUUUAAUUCUCAUUCAUCUGACCCUAAAAUUGAGAACAUACCCUUUGUAAUUUGAGAUUGAAGGGUAUUUGAUAAAGUAGAUAACCAGCAAACAUUUUUUUUUACUCCACACACCAGCAUCUUUGUUGAGUAGCUCACUACUCAACAAGGAUGCUGACAGCCAUAGAAGUUCCACACAGUUUUGGCUCACUCGUAAAUAUAAAUGGACAGCCAGAGUUACCUGACAUUGGAGGAAAACACCUAACCCAUAAUACAGAGAAAAAAAAAUAUAAAGGAGAAGAGGAUAGCACAAUCCUGAGAAUCAGAGGAAGCUGCAAAAAUUACUAUAAAUAAUAUACUCAGAGAAAUAAAAAAGUAUUGCAUCAAUGGAAUACUAUGCAGCCAUAAAAAUAAUAAAAUAAUGCCACUUGCAGCAA